This 253-nucleotide ribosomal RNA is filed under the name uncultured bacterium. RNAcentral's name for it is "partial 16S ribosomal RNA". It matches the Rfam family "Bacterial small subunit ribosomal RNA", at positions 524 to 776 of the family's 1533-position model. The record is from RNAcentral.
UACGUAGGAUGCAAGCGUUGUCCGGAAUUAUUGGGCGUAAAGAGUUCGUAGGUGGUUAUCUAAGUCUGGUGUUAAAGACGGGAGCUCAACUCCCGCAUGGCAUCGGAAACUGGAUGGCUAGAGUGUGAAAGAGGUAACUGGAAUUCCUGGUGUAGCGGUGAAAUUCGUAGAUAUUGGGAAGAACACCGGUGGCGAAGGCGGCGACCUGGUCCGGCACUGACGCUGAGACGCGAAAGCGUGGGGAGCGAACAGG